GGGGAUCAAGAACGGAGUUACAAGUGAUGAUUUCAGGACUUUGAAGCCGCCAUAAGGAGUGCAUGAAGCCUUGGACGAAAUAUACAAGAUGCCACUUCAUAAUAUUCGUCCAUAGGCUAUUCUAGGUGCUGCGUCACAUUAUUAAUGGGCCAGGCCCAUGUAAUUUCGAAAUACUUAAGUAUAGGCUAUUUUUAGAGUCCGUAUAUGUGGGGAAACAAGAGUUAGGGUUGAUUUCGGACCCCACCCUCAAUGGCCACGAAAUUCCCCCCUCUUCCUCCAUAUAUACAACCCUUAGGGCGUCGUUUAGACUUUGGGUUUUGUUUAGAUUAAAAGUUCGCCAUAGCUGCAACUUCGCGUACUUCGUUUGUGUCCAACGACCAGACCAAGACAUCACAGAACCCCACCUUGAUCAAUAAAGCUUUCAUCUUAUAUUCACAAUAUCCCGAUUGCAAUCUCAGUUUCUUGCUUGUUCUUCGUUUGCUCGCAGGAAACAGACCCUCGUGGUCAGGUUGAUCAUGCUCUGGCGUGGUCAAUAACCCUCGGAAGUUGGUUUAGCGAUUGCUAAGGCGCGACGUCUCGCACGUUCGUAGUCGGAUCGUCAAGGUCGACUCCCACAGAAAACGAUAGCCACCAUCUCAUUGAAACAUCGGGACACCUUAGCCUCUAUCAAGUGGUAUCAGAUUUCCAGGUUGCUCGGUGAGAUUUUACAGUUUUUCGUAGAUUAGAUCCAGUCUGUUCUUCAUACCUAAAGUCCACGAAAAAGCCAGAAAAAAAAAUUAGGGUUAGUUCAUCAUAUCCGAACCAAUCUGAGCCUUUGCAUAAUCUUUUUAGGGUUUUUGCUUUGUUGAAUUUGCGGUUGCAUCGUCGUGUCAAGUUGCUGGUCUUAGAGUCUAGUCUUUUAGAGUUUCGAGUUCUGGUCAUAAGUUGUCACGCCGCCGCCGCACCAUCAUCAUCGCCCAUCUACCACUUUUGCUUAUCCGUCACCGCUCUGAAUCCAUAUCCAUAUACCACCACCAAUCCGUAUCCAUAUACCACCACCAAUCUAUAUCCAUAUACCACCACCGCUACCAUAUACCACCACCGCUACCAUAUACCACAACCAUAUAUCCACCACCAAUCCGAGUUCUUCUCAUAUUAGGUUUGUUCUUGAGAUCAAUCUAAAUUCUGAUUCGUGUUUCCUUGCCUGCGUAGGUCUCGAAAAAAAAAGAGUCUGGAGACCCCCGGGCAGUUUUUAGCCCAAAAUUUUCACGGGCAAAUUUUUUCCCUAUCCUAUUUUUAGGCUUUUCUAAGUCUUUUGAGCCACAUUCCAUCAUAGUGAUUUUUUGUCGCACUUUUUCGUCGUCGCUGCCCUAAUUUCCGAAAAAAAAUUCAUGCCCAUCCUAUCAGUUCGACGAGGGAAGAGUUUUGAGACACUCGCCAUUAUAGUGAUUUUUCGCAAAAAAAAGAGGAGCGCAAAAAAACGAGCGCAAAAAAAAGAGUUCCAGAGUGUGCUUUUCCCUUAUUUACGUGCAGUGCCGUGAUUUUGUUAGUGUUCUAGGCUCGCGUCUCUAGCACGGUCUAGCCUAGGACCAGCACAGUACCGUCGUUGAGCGUUUAUUCAACUUUGCAUCUCUGAAUUGAUUAUUGCUGACCCUUUUUGCUACCAUACUAUAAGCCUUCCCAGCUCCACAUACAUCUACGUCGUGCGUUUGACUCUCCCUGGCAAUCGCUCUAUCCAAGCUUUUGAGAGUUUUGACUACAACGGUUGCCAAUCACCGCCUGCUGCUGGGUAAGAACUGGUAAGAAUUUGAGAUUUGCUUGACGGAUUUGUGACACCCGCCACCACCACCACUUGUUAGUAGUCUGUAGGAUCAUAUUUCUUGUGUGUUUCUAUUGCUGCUAACCAUGCCAGGAUCACAAGCCGACGAGACUGACUGGGAGAACUUGACGAACAAGGAGCUUCAUGAUACGUUUCAGCAAAUGAUGAGUGGAUAGGUGCACAAUGUGAUAAAUAGAUUUGAAGAGGCCAUGGAGAAGAUAGAUGGCAUGGAGAAGACGUUUGAAAUAAAGCUCGAUAACAAGUUUGCUGAAUUGCUUUCGCGUUUUCCACCACCACCACCGGCUGCUCCUGCCGCACCUCUGCAACAACAGCAACAACAUCGACUACCUCCACGUCGGGAAACAGCCCUCCGCCGAGCGAGCCGUGUCCCUCUUCAGUCGGGCCAAACUGCUGGUGCUGCUGUUGAUACUUCUGUGGCUCCUACUGCUGAUGUGGAGGAGGAUGAUUAUGUGGGAGAUUAUGAGGAUGAGGUUGAUCAAAAUCAGAACUACGUGCCACCACCAGCACAGCAACCACCAGGUCGUCCACAUGCAAAUAAUGGCAAUGGUAGGGCUCACCCUCAGGUACGAGAUCAUGACCAUCUCCCUAAACUAAAAUUGAAUAUUCCACCAUUUGAGGGUAGAUAUGUUCCUGAUAUAUAUCUUACUUGGGAGUUAGAAACUGAACAACGAUUUACAUGUUUACAAUAUCCCGAGGAGAGACGUGUUCCUGCUGCUGUUUGUGCAUUCACUCGUUUUGCAUGUGUUUGGUGGUCUGAGCAUUGUAGAUUAUAUCCUAUUCCGGCUACUUGGGCUGCUUUGAAAACUGCUAUGCGUACUCGUUGGGUUCCACCAUAUUAUCAACGUGAAUUACUUCAAAAAUUGCAGCGCUUAAGACAGGGAAAAAAUUCUGUAGAAGAAUAUUAUCAGGAAUUACAAACUGGCAUGAUUAGAUGUGGUAUUGUUGAGAAGAAUGAAGCUAUGCUUGCACAUUUUAUGGGUGGAUUAAAUAGAGAGAUUCAGACGAUUCUAGAGUAUAAGGAGUAUACUAAUAUCACUCGUUUAUUCCAUCUUGCUUGUAAAGCUGAACGUGAAGUGCAGGAUCGACAGGCAUUGGCACGGACUAACUUUUCUGCAGGUCGACCUUCAACAUGGACACCACGUGCAUCAUCUACUUCCACAUGUUCUGCUACACCGGCGCCUCCGUCGGCUGCCACCUCCAACUGUGAUACAAUAAAGCAGGCACAAUCACCACUAUCUGCCAAGAGCACACCUUCUGGGCCUGCAACGAGCUCUUCUUCAUCCAUGGCAUCAACAGGGCAAGCACAUGAUAUUAUUUGUCGAUGUUGCAAGGGUGGAGGUCAUUAUGCGAGAGAAUGCCCAUCUAAGCGUGUGAUGAUUGUUACUGAGGAUGGUGGGUAUGAGUCCGCUAGUGACUAUGAUGAGGAGACCUUGGCUCUUAUUACAUGUGAAGAACACGGUGGAGAUGAUUCUGAUCAUGAGACGCAAUACAUGGCUCCUGAAGAUGCUGACAGGUAUGAAUGUUUAGUUGCUCAACGUGUUUUGAGUGUGCAGGUUACACAAGCUGAGCAAAAUCAGAGGCAUAAUUUGUUCCAUACAAAGGGAGUUGUGAAGUAACGUUCUGUUCACGUGAUCAUAGAUGGAGGGAGCUGCAAUAACUUGUCUAGCAUGGAGAUGGUGGAGAAGCUAUCUCUCACCACAAGACCACAUCCACAUCCUUACUACAUCCAAUGGUUCAACAACAGCGGCAAGGUUAAGGUAACACGUACUGUUCGUGUGCAUUUUAGUAUCUCUACAUAUGCUGAUUAUGUUGAUUGUGAUGUGGUACCUAUGCAAGCAUGUUCCUUAUUACUUGGUAGACCAUGGCAAUUUGAUAAAAAUUCUGUACACCAUGGUAGAAACAAUCAGUAUACUCUUGUUCAUAACGAUAAAAAUAUUACUUUGCUUCCUAUGACUCCUGAUUCCAUUUUGAAAGAUGAUAUUAAUAGAGCUAAUAAAGCAAAACAGGAGACAAAUAAGAGUGAAAAUCAGAUUGUGGCAAAAGAAUUUGAGCACCAAAUGAAGCCUAAUAAUAAACCAUCUACUGUUGUUUCUGAAAUUAAAUUGAAAAGUGCAUGUUUACUUGCCACCAAAUCUGAUAUUGAUGAGCUAGAUUUUAGCAAAUCUGUUUGCUAUGCUUUUGUGUGCAAAGAGGCAUUAUUUUCAUUCGAGGACAUGCCUUCCUCUUUGCCCCCUGCUGUCACUAACAUUUUGCAGGAGUUCGCUGACGUCUUUCCACAAGACGUGCCACCGGGAUUACCACCUACUCGUGGGAUUGAGCAUCAAAUUGACUUAAUUCCCGGUGCUUCGCUACCCAACCGUGCACCAUACCGUACCAAUCCAGAGGAGACGAAGGAGAUUAUGCGUCAAGUACAAGAACUGCUCGACAAAGGUUAUAUACGCGAAUCCCUUAGUCCUUGUGCUGUUCCUAUCAUUUUAGUGCCGAAAAAGGAUGGUACGUCGCGUAUGUGCGUUGAUUGUAGAGGCAUUAAUAAUAUUACUAUUCGUUAUCGUCAUCCUAUUCCUAGGCUAGAUGAUAUGCUUGAUGAAUUGAGUGGCUCUACAAUAUUCUCCAAAGUUGAUUUACGUAGUGGAUACCAUCAAAUUCGUAUGAAAUUGGGUGAUGAAUGGAAAACAGCAUUUAAAACUAAGUUUGGAUUAUAUGAGUGGUUAGUCAUGCCUUUUGGGUUAACUAAUGCACCUAGUACUUUCAUGAGGUUAAUGAACGAAGUUUUACGUGCUUUCAUUGGACGAUUUGUGGUAGUUUACUUUGAUGAAAUAUUGAUUUAUAGCAAAUCCUUGGAGGAACAUUUGGAACAUUUAUGUGUUGUUUUUAUUGCUCUACAUGAUGCACAUUUGUUUGGAAACCUUGGAAAGUGCACCUUUUGCACCGACCGAGUAUCUUUUCUUGGCUAUGUUGUUACUCCACAGGGAAUUGAAGUUGAUAAAGCCAAGAUUGAAGCUAUUGAGAGUUGGCCGCAGCCCAAAACGGUCACACAAGUGAGGAGUUUCCUUGGCCUCGCUGGUUUCUAUAGGCGUUUUGUGAGAGAUUUCAGCACCAUUGCUGCACCUCUCAACGAGCUUACAAAGAAGGAUGUGCCUUUUGUUUGGGGUACCGCACAGGAAGAAGCCUUCACGGUAUUGAAAGAUAAGUUGACACAUGCUCCUUUACUCCAACUUCCUAAUUUCAAUAAGACUUUUGAGCUUGAAUGUGAUGCUAGUGGAAUUGGAUUAGGAGGUGUGUUAUUACAAGAUGGAAAACCUGUUGCAUACUUUUCUGAAAAAUUGAGUGGGCCUAGUCUGAACUAUUCUACUUAUGAUGAAGAAUUAUAUGCUCUUGUUCGGACCUUAGAAACAUGGCAACAUUAUUUAUGGCCCAAGGAAUUUGUUAUACAUUCUGAUCAUGAAUCUUUGAAACACACUAAAAGUCAAGCAAAACUGAACCGUAGACAUGCUAAAUGGGUUGAAUUCAUUGAGACUUUCCCUUAUGUCAUUAAACACAAGAAGGGUAAAGAAAAUGUUAUUGCUGAUGCCUUGUCUCGUCGUUAUACUAUGCUUUCACAACUUGACUUUAAAAUAUUUGGUUUGGAGACCAUCAAAGAUCAAUAUGUUCACGAUGCUGAAUUUAAAGAUGUAUUGCAGAAUUGUAAGGAAUGGAGAACUUGGAACAAGUUCGUUCUUAGCGAUGGAUUUGUGUUUCGUGCUAACAAGCGAUGCAUUCCAGCUAGCUCCGUUCGCCUUUUGUUGUUGCAGGAGGCGCAUGGAGGAGGAUUAAUGGGACACUUUGGCGUCAAGAAGACGGAGGAUAUACUUGCUACACAUUUCUUUUGGCCAAAGAUGAGACGGGAUGUUGAGUGUUUUGUUGCUCGCUGCACUACAUGUCAAAGAGCUAAGUCACGACUCAAUCCUCAUGGUUUAUAUAUGCCUUUGCCUGUACCUAGUGUUCCUUAGGAGGAUAUAUCUAUGGACUUUGUUUUAGGUUUACCUCGAACAAAGAAGGGGAGGGAUAGCAUAUUUAUUGUCGUGGAUAGGUUCUCGAAAAUGGCACACUUUAUACCAUGUCAUAAAAGCGAUGAUGCUGUUAAUGUUGCUGAUUUGUUCUUUCGUGAAAUUAUUCGCUUACAUGGUGUGCCAAAUACUAUUGUUUCAGAUCGUGAUAAUAAAUUUCUUAGCCACUUUUGGAGAUGUUUAUGGGCUAAGUUGGGGACUAAGCUGCUUUUUAGUACUACUUGUCACCCCCAAACUGAUGGACAAACUGAAGUAGUCAAUAGAACAUUGUCUACUAUGCUUAGGUCUGUUUUGAAGAAUAACAAGAAAAUGUGGGAAGAAUGCUUGCCUCAUAUUGAAUUUGCUUAUAAUCGUUCAUUGCAUUCUACUACUAAGAUGUGCCCUUUUGAAAUUGUGUAUGGUUUCCUACCUCGUGCACCUAUUGAUUUGUUGCCUCUUCCAUCUUCAGAGAAGGUUAAUUUUGAUGCUAAAGAACAUUCUGAAUUGAUUUUAAAAAUGCAUGAGUUAACUAAGGAAAACAUUGAGCGUAUGAAUGCUAAAUAUAAACUUGCUGGACAUAAGGGUAGAAAACAUGUUGUGUUUGCGCCUGGAGAUCUUGUUUGGUUACAUUUGCGUAAAGAUAGAUUUCCUAAUCUACGCAAAUCAAAGCUAAUGCCAUGUGCUGAUGGUCCUUUUAAGGUGUUAGAGAAAAUAAAUGAUAAUGCAUAUAAACUUGAGCUACCUGUAGAUUUUGGGGUUAGUCCCACUUUUAACAUUGCAGAUUUGAAGCCUUAUUUGGGUGAGGAAGAUGCGCUUCCGUCGAGGACGACUUCAUUUCAAGAAGGGGAGGAUGAUGAGGACAUCAAUACCAUUGUUACACCCACAGCCCCUACUGUUACAUAUACUGGACCAAUUACUAGAGCUCGCGCACGCCAAUUAAAUUACCAGGUACUUUCGUUUCUUGGUAAUGAUUCUAAUGUUCAUGAGAUUAUGAUGCUGCCUAAAUUGGAUACAUUUGUUUUGCUUACAAAUGAAGGGCCUAGCUUGGAGAAGGAUGAACAUUGGAGCAAGAACACGCAUGGAGUUGAUGGCAUGCGCAAGGGGAUCAAGAACGGAGUUACAAGUGAUGAUUUCAGGACUUUGAAGCCGCCAUAAGGAGUGCAUGAAGCCUUGGACGAAAUAUACAAGAUGCCACUUCAUAAUAUUCGUCCAUAGGCUAUUCUAGGUGCUGCGUCACCUUAUUAAUGGGCCAGGCCCAUGUAAUUUCGAAAUACUUAAGUAUAGGCUAUUUUUAGAGUCCGUAUGUGUGGGGAAACAAGAGUUAGGGUUGGUUUCGGACGCCACCCUCAAGGGCCACGAAAUUCCCCCCUCUUCCUCCAUAUAUAUAGCCCUUAGGGCGUCGUUUAGACUUUGGGUUUUGUUUAGAUUAAAAGUUCGCCAUAGCUGCAACUUCGCGUACUUCGUUUGUGUCCAACGACCAGACCAAGACGUCACAGAACCCCAUCUUGAUCAAUAAAGCUUUCAUCUUAUAUUCGCAAUAUCCCGAUUGCAAUCUCAGUUUCUUGCUUGUUCUUCAUUUGCUCGCAGGAAACAGACCCUCGUGGUCAGGUUGAUCGUGCUCCGGCGUGGUCAAUUACCCUCGGUAGUUGGUUUAGCGAUUGCUAAGGCGCGACGUCUCGCACGUUCGUAGUCGGAUCGUCAAGGUCGACUCCCACAGAAAACGAUAGCCACCAUCUCAUCGAAACAUCGGGACACCUUAGCCUCUAUCAUUCAUUAAAGACUUCUCAAAAAAUUCUAGGCCUCUGACUAAUCUCUUACAAAAAGAUGUCCCUUUUGUCUUUGAUGAUGAUUGUGUAGAAGCAUUUGAAAUACUUAAGAAAGCCUUGAUUUCUGCACCUAUUGUUCAGCCACCUGAUUGGAAUUUACCCUUUGAAAUUAUGUGUGACUAGUCAUCUACCCGUGCGGCUGUACGGCCUAGAAAUUUCUCUGUCUAACAUGGUUGUGUAAAUUCAUUUGUCACAUCAACAUUUUUGGAUAGCUAUACAUGUUGGUCAAACACAUCAAGUGUCCUACAGUAGAUGAACAGAAGUGUAGAGACACCCUAAUAUGUUUCUAUCGGUUGAACCUUUCUUGACCUGAUGAGCUACCAAGUCUUGAAAUAAUUGGUACAUAUACCAGGUCAAAUGUUACAAAAAUUAUAAAUCAACAACAAUUUCGAAGCUGUUAGGGACAAAUAUUCUAUUCAUUUUUUAUUUAUUUUAUUUCGGUCAUGUUUCUUUUCUUUCAAAAGGAAUGAAAAAAAUCAUUCACGAUUAGACUUUUUUUCAAAAGGAAUAACUGGACGUGGUUUUUUAAUUUCAUUUUUCUCAUGGGAACAUGCAUGUGGCUGAAAAACAUUUAGGCAUAAUUUUUCUAAGCAUGAGGUUUUGGCGAGCAAUUAUUUGUACGGCACUUUAAUUUGCUUUUUGUCAAGGGAGCACACUUGUGGUUUUUAUUUUGGUGAUAUUUAGGACAUGGAAUCUUUUUCUAGCAUUGGGCCUAAGGACGUUUCAUUUAUGUGUAUCUUUAUUUGAUAACAUAUCUUCUUUUUUCUUUAUCAAUGGAGAAGGAAAAUGGAUUUUGCUUUGGUUGGUACUUGAACGUCGGCAUGCAGGACAAUUUUCUGUGCAUGUGGGUUUAAUCCUUUUUCAUACUUUUAGUACGUGUUGUUUUUCUACUUUUUUUACCUUAAGUGAUCUCUCGUAAUAAAAUUCCUGGCAUAUGUUUUUUUACAUAAUAUGUCUUUGUUUCAGGAAACCAAGAGCGACUCAAGGGAGGAAGUCUCCCAUACAUGGUAGCAUAGGACACUUAGAUUUUUGUUUUAUAAAGAAAGAUUUCAUUUUUAAUGAAACAGAGAGAGUCCCAUGGGACUAAGACUCCCGUACGUGGAGUAAUAUCACUCAACAUGUCUUAUCUUUCAUCCAAAGGAUAUAGAUACAUUAUAAUUAAUCCAACGGUCAAUAUUCUUUAAUUAUAAGGAAUAACCUGGUGCCUCGUAUGGUGCCUCCAAUUAGUAAAUAUAAGAUGCUAGUGAUUAUGUUGUAGGUGUUGUUCUAGGACAAAGGGUUGAUAAGAAAUUAAAUGUUAUCCAAUAUGCUAGUAAAACUCUAGACAGUGCCCAGAGAAAUUAUGCUACUAUUGAAAAAGAAUUUUUAGCAGUUGUAUUUGCUUGUGAUAAGUUCAGACCUUAUAUUGUUGAUUCUAAAGUAACUGUUCACAUUGAUCAUGCUGCUAUUAAAUAUCUUAUGGAAAAGAAAGAUGCUAAACCUAGACUUAUUAGAUGGGUUCUAUUGCUACAAGAAUUUGAUUUGCAUAUUAUUGAUAGAAAGGGAGCUGAGAACCCCAUUGCAGACAACUUAUCUAGGUUAGAGAAUGUUCUUGAUGACACGCUACCUAUUGAUGGUAGAUUUCCUGAUGAACAAUUAGCUGUCAUAAAUGCUUCUCAUACUGCUCCAUGGUAUGAUGAUUAUGCUAAUUACAUUGUUGCUAAAUUUAUACCUUCUAGUUUCACAUACUAGCAAAACAAAAAGUUUUUCUAUGAUUUAAGACAUUACUUUUGGGAUGACCCAAACCUUUAUAAAGAAGGAGUAGAUGGUGUUAUUAGACGUUGUGUACCUGAGCAUGAACAGGAACGGAUCCUACACAAGUGCCACUCCGAGGCUUAUGGAGGACACCACGCUGGAGAUAGAACUGCACAUAAGGUAUUGCAAUCUGGUUUUUGUUGGCCUACUCUUUUCAAAGAUGCCCGUAAGUUUGUCUUGUCUUGUGAUGAAUGUCAAAGAAUUAGUAAUAUUAGUAGACAUCAAGAAAUGCCCAUGAACUAUUCACUUGUUAUUGAACCAUUUGAUGUUUGGGGCUUAGAUUAUAUGGAACCGUUUCCUUCCUCUAAUGGGUAUACACAUAUUUUAGUUGUUGUUGAUUACGUUACUAAGUGGGUAGAAGCUAUUCCAACUAGUAGUGUUGAUCAUAACACCUCUAUUAAGAUGCUUAAAGAAGUUAUUUUUCCGAGGUUUGGAGUGCCCAGAUACUUAAUGACUGAUGGUGGUUCACAUUUUAUUCAUGGUGCUUUUCGUAAAAUGCUUGCUAAGUAUGAUGUUAAUCAUAGAAUUGCAUCUCCAUAUCACCCACAGUCUAGUGGUCAAGUAGAAUUGAGUAAUAGGGAGAUUAAAUUAAUUUUGCAAAAGACUGUUAAUAGAUCUAGAAAGAAUUGGUCCAAGAAACUUGAUGAUGCAUUAUGGGCCUAUAGAACUGCAUAUAAAAAUCCUAUGGGUAUGUCUCCGUAUAAAAUAGUUUAUGGAAAAACAUGUCACUUACCUCUCGAACUAGAACAUAAGGCAUAUUGGGCCAUUAAAGAGCUCAAUUAUGAUUUCAAACUUGCCGGUGAGAAGAGACUAUUUGACAUUAGAUCACUUGAUGAGUGGAGAACCCAGGCCUAUGAGAAUGCCAAGCUGUUUAAAGAAAAAGUUAAAAGAUGGCAUGACAAAGGAUACAAAAGCGUGAGUUUAAUGUAGGUGAUUAUGUUUUGUUAUAUAACUCUCGUUUAAGAUUUUUUGCAGGAAAACUCCUCUCUAAAUGCGAAGGUCAACGUUAUCGAGGAGGUCUAUCAUUCCGUGCCAUAAAAAUCGACAACUUCGAAGGCACAAAUCCGAAGGUGGUGAACGGUCAAAGAAUCAAACAUUAUAUCUCAGGUAAUCCCAUAAAUGUUGAAACCAAUGUUAUUGACACCGUAACCCCGGAGGAGUACAUAAGGGACACUUUCCAGAAUGUUUCAGACUCUGAAAAGGAAUAGGUAUGUGGUACGGUAAGUAAACCGGCUCCAAAACAGUUCCAAUAGCAUUUUUUCUCCAUUUUGGAAUAUUUAAGAAAAUAGGAAAAUAAGAAGUAGUCCAAAAGGGACGCGAGGCGUCCACGAGGGUGGAGCGUGCGCCCUACCCCCUUGGGCGUGCCCCCUGCCUCGUGGGUACCUCGUGUGCCCUCUAGACUCCGUUUUCUUGCACGAUACUUCUUUUGGUCGGUAAAAAUUCAUUAUAUAAUCUCCCGAAGGUUUUGGCCACCGUACCACGACAAUACCUCAUGUUUUUGUCUUGAGUUGUUUCUGCCGCAGAUUAGAUCAAGAUGUCUUCUCAAGAGUCAGUCGGGGAGAUCCGAGUAUCUCACCCGACACCAUCGCCAAAAGUAAACAGCGAUACAUAUCACUUUGGGAGAUCAACUGAGGAGGAGAUGGAGGCCGACUUGAAAAGUAUAUAUGCCAUGGAGGAGGAUCAAGAAGUUACCUCUCAUCUCCAAGCCAGAUUCAAGAUGGAGGAACUUCAGAGCGCGGCAAUUCCAAAUUCGGUCAUCCCUCCCAAUGUUAGAUUUCUUUCUUAUGAAAAUAUGAAGAAUAGUGUUACUUGUUCUCCCGCGGCUAUGCAACAUCCAUGGGUGAAAGGAGCUUUAGCCAUCAUGGGUAAGCUCCGUAAGGAAAUAAUGGAUCUCAAGCAGUAAGUCAAUAAGCGCGAGGAAGAGAAUCAUAUCCUCAGGGGCAUCAUCGCUAAGAAUAUCACUUCACCAUCACCUCCGAAGAAAGAGAAAUAAAUACAUGGGUAUGGGCACUCCCCUUGGCAACUGCCAAGCUUGCGGGAGGUGCCCCGGUAUCGUAUCACCAUCACACUUCUAUCUUUACCAUUUUUCUUAGUUCGAUCCUUUUGGUUAUAUUUUGAUCUAGUAGAAUAAAGUUUAGUAUGAUCUAGCUUUGAGUCUUUGUGUUGAUCCUUAUCUAUGUAAUCGAGUCCAUGAGCUAUAUAUAAUAAAGAUUAGUCUUGAGUUGAGGGCUUGGUUAUCUUGCUAUGACCUUGAGGGAAUAAACGAAAGUAAAAAGAAAGAAUAAAAAGAAAUAAAGAGAUCAUAUUGAUCUUAUGGAGAGUAAUGACUUCACACAUAAAACAGUAUGAUGAAUAAAAGUUGUUGAGAGUUGAGAAACAUAGUUUUGGUCAUCGUUGCAAUUAAUAGGAAGUAAUAAAGAAAGAGAGGUUUUCACAUAUAAAUAUACUAUCUUGGACAUCUUUUAUGAUUGUGAGCACUAAUUAAAAUAUGACAUGCUAAAAAGUUGAUGUUGGACAAGGAAGACAACGUAAUGGGUUAUGUUUUCUUAUAUCCAAAAUAAAUUAUAUUGUCAUGGAUCAUCCAACAUGUUGAGCUUGCCUUUCCCCCUCAUGCUAACCAAAUUCUUUGCACCAAGUAGAGAUACUACUUGUGCUUUCAAAUAUCCUUGAACCUAGUUUUGCCAUGAGAGUCCACCAUAUCUACCUAUGGAUUGAGUAAGAUCCUUCAAGUAAGUUGUCAUUGCUGCAAGCAAUGAAAAUUGCUCUCUAAAUAUGUAUGAUCUAUUAGUGUGGAGAAAAUAAUCUUUAUACGAGCUUGUGAUAUGGAAGAAAUAAAAGCGACGGACUGCAUAAUAAAGGUCCCUAUCACAAGUGGCAAUAUAAAGUGACGUUGUUUUGCAUUAAGAUUUUGUGCAUCCAACCAUAAAAGCACAUGACAACCUCUGCUUCCCUCUGCGAAGGGUCUAUCUUUUAUUUUUGUCUUAUACCUUAUACAAGAGUCAUGGUGAUCUUCACCUUUCCUUUUUACACUUUAUCCUUUGGCAAGCACUAUGUGUUGGAAAGAUCCAAUUGGAUGUGGGCUUUCUUAAAGAAUUAUUGUUGAUGUUACCCUUGAGGUACAAGAUUGGGAGGCAAAACUAUAAGCCCCUAUCUUUCUCUGUAUCCAAUUAAAACUUCAUACCCGUAAGUAUUGCGUGAGUGUUAGAAAUUGUGAAAGACUAUAUGAUAGUUAAGUAUGUGAACUUGCUGAAAAGCUCUUAUAUUGACUAUUUCCGAUGUUAUGAUAAAUUGAAAUUGCUUCAAUGACUAAGAUUGUAGUUUGUUAGUUUUCAAUGAAGUUUCUGAUUCAUACUUGACAUUGUGAAUAGAUUGUUACUUCAGCAUAAGAAAUCAUAUGACAAUAUAUAUAUAUAUAUAUAUGUUGUUAUUCUAAGAAUAAUCAUGAUGCCUUCAUGUCCGUAUUUUAUUUUAUCGACACCUCUAUCUCUAAACAUGUGGACAUAUUUUUUGAUAUCGGCUUCCGCUUGAGGACAAGCGAGGUCUAAGCUUGGGGGAGUUGAUACGUCCAUUUUGCAUCAUGCUUUUAUAUCGAUAUUUAUUGCAUUAUGGGCUGUUAUUAUAGAUUAUUUCACAAUACUUAUGCCUUUUCUCUCUUAUUUUACAAGGUUUAUAUGAAGAGGGAGAAUGCCGUCAGCUGGAAUUCUCGGCUGGAAAAGGAGCAAAUAUUAGAGACCUAUUCUGCGCAACUCCAAAAGUCCUGAAACUCCACGAAAGUCAGUUUUGGAAUAUAUUAAAAAUAUUGGGCGAAGAAAGCACCAAAGGGGGGCCAUCCACCAUCCACGAGGGUGGGGGCGUGCCCAGGGGUAGGGCACCUGGAAGCCCCUCGAUGCUCAUCUUCUGGUAUAAGGUGUCUUUUGCCCUAGAAAAAUAGGGAGGAAGCUUUCAGGAUGAAGCACCGCCGUCUCGAGGCGGAACCAAUAUAGGGCUCCGGCGGAGCUGUUCUGCUAGGGAAACAUCCCUCCGAGAGGGGGAAAUCGUCACCAUCGUCAUUACCAUCAAUCCUCUCAUAGGGAGGGGGUCAAUCUCCAUCAACAUCUUCACCAGCACCAUCUCCUCUCAAACCCUAGUUCAUCUCUUGUAUCUUAUCUUUGUCUCAAAACCUCAGAUUGUUACCUGUGGGUUGCUAGUAGUGUUGAUUACUCCUUGUAGUUGAUGCUAGUUGGUUUAUUUGGUGGAAGAUUAUAUGUUCAGAUCCGUUAUGCAUAUUAAUACCCCUCUGAUUAUGAACAUGAAUAUGAUUUGUGAGUAGUUAUGUUUGUUCCUAAGGACAUGGGAGAAGUGUUGUUAUAAGUAUUCAUAUGAAUUUGGUAUUCGUUUGAUAUUUUGAUGAGAUGUAUGUUGUCUUUCCUCUAGUGGUGUUAUGUGAACGUCGACUACAUGACACUUCACCAUUCUUUGGGCCUAGGCGAAGGCAUUGGGAAGUAAUAAGUAGAUGAUGGGUUGCUAGAGUGACAGAAGCUUAAACCCUAUUUUAUGCGUUGCUUCCUAAGGGGCUGAUUUGGAUCCAUAUGUUUCAUGCUAUGGUUAGGUUUACCAUAAUUCUUCUUUCGUAGUUGCGGAUGCUUGCGAGGGAGGUUAAUCAUAAGUGGGAUGCUUGUCCAAGGAAGGGAAGUACCCAAGCACCGGUCCACCCACAUAUCAAAUUAUCAAAGUAACGAACGCGAAUCAUAUGAGCAUGACGAAAACUAGCUUGACAAUAAUUCCCAUGUGUCCUCGUGAGCGCUUUCCUUUAUAUAAGAGUUUGUACAGGCUUGUCCUUUGCUACAAAAAGGAUUGGGCCACCUUGCUGCACCUUGUUUACUUUUGUUACUUGCUACCUUUUACGAAUUACCUUAUCAUAAAACUAUAUGUUACCGAUAAUUUCAGUGCUUGCAGAGAAUACCUUGCUGGAAACCGCUUAUCAUUUCCUUCUGCUCCUCGUUGGGUUUGACACUCUCACUUAUCAAAAGGACUAUGAUAGAUACCCUAUACUUGUGGGUCAUCAUGUAUAUGCGGGAACAAUCUUGUGACACAAGGGAUGAUAUGAUACCAAGAUUAUAGCAAUAUGAUAUGGUAUGUACGCAAUGGAAGGUGUAGAUCGAUGAUCACUAAUGUGCACAAGUAACGUUGCCGGCAAGACUCAAUGGCUAGUCUCGAUAGGCAAGUGACGCAAAAUGGGCUAGGGAUUAACAAUGCAAUGGCAAGAAUGAAUGUACAAUGAUGGGAUACCACGAUACCAAGAUGAUAUAGAGGUUACUGUUCUUGCUUACGGUUAGGGUAUCAAAAUGGUGAAGGUGGUCGAUGACGAAUCCUUGACGAAGUUGAGAGGUGGUGUUAUUGAUGUUGAAACGUUCCUAGUUAGCCGACUCACCCUAGGAAACAGAAAAACCGCAAACUCAAAAUCUCAAAGGAAAAUGUCAAAUGGUGGUAGCGGCACUACUGCAGGAUGCUGCUAACGUGACACUACGAUUAGAGAUGCUUUAAUGAAACUGUGUGCGAUGCAUCAAUCACAAACGGGGAUGUAAAAACCGUCAGAAAAGGUGCAAAACAUUUGCAAUGGAGGAUGCAUCAAACACGGUUCACAUUUUAGUUGCGUGUGCGAUCUAGGGCAUACGGUUCAGUCCAAUGACCUAUUUGUGAUGAGGCGGAACAAAAGAAAUGGGCAGCCUGAUGAAGGCGUGUGCGAUAUAGAGCAUACGGUUCACUCGGAUGAACGGUUUGUGAUUAGGCAACACAAAAGAAACGGCCAACUAGAUGAAGGUGUGUGCGAUAUACAGCAUACGGUUCACUCGGAUGAACUGUUUGAGAUUAGGCAACACAAAAGAAACGGUCAGCCAGAUCAAGGUGUGUGAGAUUGAGGGCAUACGCUUCAGAAGGAUUAACUGUUUGCGAUUAGGCAACAUAACAGAAACGGGUAAGCCAGAUCAAAGUGUCUGCGAUUGAUGGCAUACACUUCACAUGGAUGAACUGUUUGCGAUUAGCCACAACAAAUUGAGACAGUUAGAUAGAUCAACGUGUGUGCGCUAGACAGGCACACCCAUUCUAAUUAAAAGAAGCGUGUGCGACGCUAAUAACGAGCGCGCACGGUUGUUGGAACAAGACGUGUGCUGACAUUGCCUAUUGCGGUGCACCCUAUGGUGCAAACGCCACGUACGCGGCCGAGAAGGCGUACGUGCCCAUGUUACGCCUUCCGGGAAUAGUGUCGCACUUAUAACCGUCAGUAAAUUUUGAGCAUGCGUCCUGUCACAAUUUUUUUAGAAGAACAAGGAGGUUGCGUCCCAUCACAUUCCAAAUUGCAAACCUGUUCACACCGAUCAAAACCUAUACAGUUUCCCACUUAGGAGUGUAUUACUACGCGGUUAUAAAUACUACUACUCCAAGAUGACUGCACAUUCCUCCUCAACUCCUCAUCCACAAAAAGUCAAAAACAAACACGUCAUUCAUCAUCGUUCCCUUACGUCCGCCAUGGCCAGCGUGAGUUCUGGGUCGAGAGAUUGCCACCAGGGAGAGGCGAGCCUGGAAGCGGGAGCACGAGAGAUGUCCUGCCUCGCCGCAAAAGCAGCCAACAUGUGCCGCCGCACGGCCGUAGCAGCAGAAGGUCCCGCCGCGCCACCGAAGCAGCAUGGAGGACCCGCCAUGCCGUCGAUGCAGCAGAAUGGUCCGGUCAUGCCGCGGAGGCAGAAGAGAAGUCCCGCCGUGCCGUGAAUGCAGCAAAGAUGUCCUCCCGCGUUGCGGUGGCCUGGGAAAAUGCCUUGCGGGCAGGAGAGGACUCUUACAGGCGCAUGCGUGUCCUCGUCCUUAGGCAGAUGGAUCAAAUCUCCAGGUGGGAGAGGUUGCAGGAUGACCUGAAAGCCUCGUUGGAACAGUCUACCGAUGUCAUCCUGCAACUAAAUGAGAGCAAUGCGAAGCUCCGGGCCGAGCGCGACCUGCUGAGGGCAAAGAUCGUCGGAAGUGCGGAGUGAGGGAGUCCUGGACUAAGGGGUCCUCAGGCAUCCGACCUGUUGGACAUGGGCCGGACUAAUGGGUUUUGAAGAUACAAGACCGAAGACUCUCUCCCGUGUCCGGAUGGGACUCUUCUUGGCGUGGAAGGCAAGCUUAGCGUCCAAGAUAUGAAGAUUCCUUUCUCUGUAACUGACUUUGUACAACCCUCAUCCCCUCCGGUGUCUAUAUAAACCGGAGGGCUUAGUCCGAAGGACAGAUAUAGUCAUACAGGCUAGACUUCUUGGGUUUUAGCCAUUACGAUCUCGUGGUAGAUCAACUCUUGUAAUACUCAUAUUCAUCAAGAUCAAUCAAGCAGGAAGUAGGGUAUUACCUCCAUAGAGAGGGCCCGAACCUGGGUAAACACUGUGUCCCUUGUCUCCUGUUACCAUCGACCUUAGACGCAUAGUUCGGGACCCCCUACCCGAGAUCCGCCGGUUUUGACACCGACAUUGGUGCUUUCAUUGAGAGUUCCAUUGUGCCGUCCUCAAGAGGUUUGAUGGCCCCUUCAAUCAUCUACAACAAUGCUGUCCAAGGAGAAGUCUUCCUCCCAGGACAGAUCUUAGUGUUCGGCGGCUUCGCACUACGGGCCAACUCGCUUGGCCAUCUUGAGCAGAUCGACAGCUAUGCCCCUGGCCGUCAGGUCAGAUUCGGGAGGUUGAACUACGUCACGGAUAUCUGCGGAGACUUGAUCUUCGACGGAUUCGAGACCACGGCAGCCGCUCCUCGUCACCAUGAUGAACAUGACUUAAAUCUGUCAUCGGACCAUACCCAGGAGAUAGCACCUGUAACUGCUCUGGCCUUAGAUCCAGAGCAGAUCGUGCCAUCUGAAGACAGGAAGCUCAACCCGGCCAUAGAUGCCGCAGUCUCAGCGGCGUUAGAGCCGCACACAGACCCAACCUCGAGUGGAAUCUGUGUCACCGAAGCCUCGGACUCGUUUCCGGCUAUAGGUUCUGAACCAUGUGUGUCCAGGUGCGUCGAGCUCGAUCAGUCUUUGAUCGUCGAAUUCAGCUCCACGGACAUUUUUCGGCACUCGCCUUUGGGCGACGUGUUAAACUCGUUAAAGGCACUAUCCUUAGCGGGGGGCUCACAGUCGAAUUAUAUCCGGUUUGAACUAGAGGCUGAUGACGGAGAACUUCCCUUCCCACCCACCGCCCACUUCACAGCCACUGUCAAAGAUUUAACCGACAUGCUAGAUUACAGCUCUAAAGACAUCGACGGUAUGGACGACGAUGCCAAUGAGGAGCAGGGCCAAAACCCGUCGUUUACUGGACGCUGGACGGCCACCUCUUCUUACGACGUGUACAUGGUGGAUACACCUAAAAGAACUAACGAUGAUGACAGAGAAGAUCCAGUUGAGGAUGAACCUCCUAUGAUACAGCCAAAACGUCGGUGUCAGCGGCCCUGUUCUAAGUCACGUCAUGGAAAAGACAGCAAUACUGGCACGGGGGAAAACAAUACUCCGGACGAUGCCGAAGAUAAUGAAGACCCUGUUGAGAUAACUUCCGAACAGGAGGAACAGGAAAACGGGCAAGUUAGCCCUGACGAACAGGCCAUAAACGACAACUCGGAGGACAUUAAUUAUCUUCCACUCUCCGAGGAUGAGGUGAGCCUUGGCAAUGAGGAUUUUAUCGUGCCUAAGGAACCUCUCGAGCAGGAGCGCUUCAAGCGCCGGCUAAUAGCCACUGCAAGGAGCCUGAAAAAGAAGCAGCAGCAGCUUCAAGCUGACCAAGAUCUGCUCAACGAUAGAUGGAAUGAUAUCCUAGCAGCCGAAGAAUACGGCCUCAAGCGCCCAGCCAAAAGCUACCCGAAGCGCAAAUUGCUACCUCAGUUCGAUGAUGAGGCACCGGAGCCUGUACCAUCAUCGCGCAAUGCGGCUGACCGACCAUCACAUGGUCGGGAUAAAGCGGCAACUCAAGCCGAACACCAACCCGCCCCACCUCAUCACAAAGGCAGAGAUAAACUAGCUCAUGGUUAUACAUAUGCCCUUCGGCAGGACCUAGACAGUAGAUUAGGACAUACCAGAUCGAUCUACGAAUCGCGAGGACGCGUCCUCACACGCGACGAUGGCCAUCUAUUCAGACGUGACAACCCUAGCAUGCCCAGGCCAAAAACCGCAGACGGACUCCAUCUGAGCUAUGUCGCGAUGUGGACCGAUAUUGAGGCGGCGCACACCCUCUUUGAUUCACUGACGAAGUAAUGGAGCAUGAAUUCCCAGAAGGGUUUAAACCCGUGAAUAUCGAAUCAUAUGAUGGAACAACUGAUCCCGCGGUAUGGAUCGAGGAUUUUCUUCUCCAUAUCCAUAUGGCCCGUGGAGAUGACCUUCACGCCAUUAAAUACCUCCCACUAAAACUCAAAGGGACAGCUCGGCACUGGUUAAACAGUCUGCCCGAAAACUCUAUUGGCGGCUGGGAGGAUUUGGAAGACGCCUUCCAUGACAACUUCCAAGGUACAUAUGUUCGGCCACCAGAUGCCGAUGACUUAAGUCACAUAGUUCAACAGCCCGGAGAGUCAGCCAGGAAAUUCUGGACUAGGUUCCUAACUAAAAAGAACCAGAUCGUCGACUCUCCGGAUGCCGAAGCCCUAGUGGCCUUUAAGCAUAGCAUUCGCGACGAAUGGCUCACCCGCCACCUUGGUCAAGAAACUUCGAAGUCCAUGGCAGCCCUCACGGCACUCAUGACCUUCUUUUAUGCGGGUGAGGAUAGUUGGCUGGCUCAUAGCAAAAACAUGGCAAGCGAAGCGGGCACCUCCGAUGUUAAAAACAGCAACGGCAAGCUCCGACGCAACAGGCACAAAUGUCGAAGCAAUGGUGACAAUACCGAUGACACGACAGUCAACGCCGGAUUCAGUGGCUCCAAGUCCGGUCAGCGGAAGAAGCCAUAUAAAAGAAACAACCUGGGACCAUCCAGCUCAAACCGCAUACUCGAUCGUCCGUGCCAGAUCCAUGGCACCCCAGACAAACCAGCCAAUCAUACCAACAGAGAUUGUUGGGUUUUUAAACAGGCCGGCAAGUUAAAUGCCGAGAACAAGGAGAAGGGAUCGCAAAGCGAGGACGAUGACGAGGAGCCCCGGCCACCGAACACAAGGGGACAGAAGAAGUUUCCCCCUCAGGUCAAAACGGUGAACAUGAUAUACGCUACCCACAUCCCCAAGAGGGAGCGCAAGCGCGCUCUCAGGGACGUCUAUGCGAUAGAGCCAGUCGCCCCAAAACUUAAUCCAUGGUCGUCAUGCCCGAUCACCUUCGAUCGUCGGGAUCAUCCGACCAGUAUCCAUCACGGCGGUUCAGCCGCACUGGUCCUUGACGCAAUAAUUGAUGGAUUCCACCUAACGCGAGUCCUCAUGGACGAUGGCAGCAGCCUCAACCGUCUCUAUCAGGAUACAGUACACAAAAUGGGCAUUAAUCCAACACGGAUCAAGCCCACAAAGACUACCUUUAAAGGAGGCAUGCCCGGUGUAGAGGCCCGCUGUACGGGCUCAAUCACACUAGAGGUUGUCUUCGGAUCUCCGGACAACUUCAGAAGUGAAGAGUUAAUCUUCGAUAUCGUCCCCUUUCGCAGCGGCUAUCACGCACUACUUGGACAAACCGCAUUUGCUCGAUUCAACGCGGUGCCACACUAUGCUUAUCUCAAGCUCAAGAUGCCUGGACCACGCGGCGUCAUAAUAGUUAAUGGAAACAGGGAAUGCUCCCUCCGUACUGAGGAGCACACCGCUGCCUUAGCAGCAAAAGUACAGAGUGGCCUUUUCAAGCAGAACCUUAAUUCGGUGGUCGAGCUCCCCGACACUGUCAAGAGAGUCCGGACUAUUCCGCGGUAGGACAGCUCAGCUCGUCAAGAGCUCGACUAGCAAUCUAGCCUCCGUCCCAGUCCCGACCAAGUGGCAGCAUUCGUACCACGGGUACAUAACUACGCACUCAAAAUACCAUGGGCAUAGACGAAGGCAUAACUAUCUUGUGAUCCACAGUACGGCUCGAUCGAACCCGGACAUGAAAGUGCGUUAUAUCGACUAGAGGGGGGUGAAUAGGCGAUUUUUAUGAAAGUCUUCAGAACAUGGGAGUUUUGAAGACAAACGAUAAAAAUAGACCUAUUACCAUGCAGCGGAAGGUAGACUACACUAGGCAAACCAUAGUCAAGUAUUCAAUGAAGUGAAAGCACAAAGACUAAUAGCAGCUAGGUAGUAAGGAUCAGAUAGGAAGAUAUUGUGAAGCCAAACAGAACACGCAGUCACUCAGUGAAGACAAAUGAUAGAGCAAACAUACAAUGACUUCACAAGGAGUAACAGUAAGUAACGUGAAGUGAAGAUGAAACCAGUGACUCGUUGAAGACAAUGAUAUGUUGAACCAGUUCCAGUUGCUGUGACAACUGUACGUGUGGUUGGAGCGGCUAGGUAUUUAAACCUUAGGACACACAGUCCCGGACACCCAGUCCUGAACACACAGCUCAGGACACCCAGUCCUCACCGUAUUAUCCUUGAGCUAAGGUCACAUAGACCUCGCCCAAUCACUCUGGUAAGUCUUCAAGGUAGACUCCCAAACCUUCACACACUUCGUUCACUGGCAAUCCACAAUGUCUCUUGGAAGCUCAGAACGCGACGCCUAACCGACUGGAGGAUGCACAGUCCUCAAGUGUAAUAAGUCUUCAGAUCACACAGAGAAGAAGACUUAAGUGAUGCCCAAUUCUCUCUGGCUCUGGUGGUUAGGUCUUUAUCCUCGCAAGGAAUUCUCUCUGAAAGGCUUCGAGGUGGGUUGCUCUCAAAUGACAAAAGCCGUGCUUUCAAUCUGAGCAGCUAACCAUUUAUGGUUGUAGGGGGUGGGCUAUUUAUAGCCACUUGGCAACCCGGCCUGAUUUGUCCGAAAUGACCCUGGGUCACUAAGGAACUGACACGUGUUCCAACGGUCAGAUUUCAAACUCACACGACAACUUUACUUGGGCUACAAGCAAAGCUGACUUGUCCGACUCUGGACAAGAUUCGCUCUCAUUGUCUUCACUCGAAGACAUAGGUUUUUGGUUUAGGCAUCACUUCAGUCAUUCUGACUGGUUCUCUUGGACCCCACUUAACAGUACGGUGGUUCAUAUGACUGAACACAAAAGAAAAAGAACUACAAAAGAUCUAAGUCUUCGAGCUCCAUAGGCUUCAUAUCGUGUCUUCUCUUGUCAUAGUCUUCAAUGUGAAUAUCUUCAUAUACCACCUUUGACUUCAAUGUCUUCAUACAUUUUUAGGGGUCAUCUCUGGUAGUAAAACCGAAUCAUGAGGGACUUCUACCUGUGUUAUCCUGCAAUUCUCACAAACACAUUAGUCCCUCAACUAGGUUUGUCGUCAAUACUCCAAAACCAACUAGGGGUGGCACUAGAUGCACUUACAAUCUCCCCCUUUUUGGUGAUUGAUGACAAACUAGUUGAAGUUUUCAACGGGGAAUAUAAUCUGUGAAACUGUAAAGGAUAAGGAAUUGUCUUCAUAAGUUGCAAGGGCUCCCCCUGAAGAUGUGCAUAUUAGUUAAUUUGCUUUUGGAAUGCAAAUGCACAUGGCAGGUGGUACUUGUGGAGAUCCACUUAAACUUAUGAUGACAAUCCACUAUGCAUGUGAAAGUAUAUGAAGAUAAUGCCAUGCAUAAUGGAAAAUGGACGUCUGCAGAAUGAGUUGAGUGCGGAAUUUAUCGUCGCACAUGCGGAAUUUAUCUUCGCAAAACAAGGUGGCAAAUAAGUAGUAGACGACCAUCUAGUUUAAGUGUUACAACUCAUAAGAACCAAAUGUAGCAAAAAAACGAGAGUUGUAAGCACGAAGCAAAAUAUAAGGCACCCGCCCAUAUGAACCCGCUUGAAGACUAUCAAUCUCAUAUGCUUCUCCCCCUUUUGUCAGUAAUGACCAAAAAGGUUUGAAGACAUAGAGCCUCUACUCGUUCCCAUGAGGAGUAGGUGAAGUAGCAGGGUUGUUGGUGUUGUUUGGCGGUGCAGAAGAGCUUGGAGGUGCUGAAGGAGGUGGCGGUGAAGUAGCAUCGUCUUCUUCUUCAAUAAUUCUGGCAGUGACUAUGGCAGCAGAGGAAGAGAACUCAGAGUCUUCAAGGGAUGGAGUUCCUAGUAGCACAGCCCUUCGAGGAGGUGUGGAGUCAAACUUGAAUCUCUUAGUGAAGCCAUCCUCUUGAAGAUCAGCUUCAGAAAGCAUCAUCGUUAGCCCUUUCCAUGUGCAGCGACAGGUUUCAUGGGCAACGAAAAUAUUCUUGGUGGCAAGAUUUCGAGUGUGAUUAACAUCCACCAAGAGGCUUUUCAUCUGACGCUUCAGCCAGUCAUGAUGCCUAUCUUGUUUCUGAUGUAGAGCCACAAGAAGCUCUCGGUCGUUGAGAACACGAGUGCGCUUCUUGGGUCUUGGAGCAGUGGUACUGUCAGUGGCUUCAGUGGAAGCAGGGUGUGGUGCACGUGUAGUGCCAGCCAAAGGAUACACCCGAGAAACUGCUUCAACGCCUUCAACGUUCUGCAUAAAACUCUGAUGUUCUGCAUUCUGAAGACUUAGAGGUUGCUUGGCAGGCUCAGAAUAUAUGGCUUCAGUAGACAUGUCCACAUCAGGCAAGAAGAUCCGAUGGUUGCGGGCUGAGGGCUGAUAAGAGAUGGCGGAGUGUAGCUUGAUCAGCCGCAUGACCCAAGGGGCGUAGAACUUCAAAUCAAACAGAUCAAUGCCUGAUGCAGCAAGUUGGCGUAUGAAGAAGUCCUGUGCAUUGAAGCAUUUUCCAUGAAGUAUAUAGAAGACCAAAGUCUUCAUUGCACCCUGAAGCUUGGCAUUUGGAGAGUGCCCUUUGAUAGGCCAGAGAGUUUGCCUGAUGAUGUGAUAGAUGGUUCUGGGCAGGUACUCAAGGUCUUCAAUGAAGAACUCUGUGGGAUACGCAGCAUCUUGGGGCAAUGGCUUCAUCAUGCUGAGCAUUUGACUCAUAUUAGGUUCUGGCCGCUGAAAGAUGCUCUCAAUAGCUUCAGCAUGCAGCUGACAGCCUUGCUCGAAGAGAUCGCCAGGAGUGGGCAAGCCAAUGAGCUCAAUGAUGUCAAAUGCAUUGGCUUCGUGAUGAACGUUGCCAGUCAUCCACUCCAGGACACAAGUCUUCAGAUCUCUGCUGUAUCCUUUGAUGUGAAGUGUGGCAUAGAAUUGUAGCAGCAGAUCUUCAUUCCAAUGCUCUUCAGCAGUAACAAAUUGCAGCAGACCCACUUGCUUGAAGCAAUCCAACGCUUCUUCUAGAUAGGGCAGACCAGCUAUAGCUUCAACGUCAAGGCGCUUGUGUGGGAAGAUGCGUCCUUGGUUGUAAAGAAUGCAAGAGUAAUAGCUUCGCUCAGGAUAGCUCCAGAACCGAUCAGAUGAUAUCCGUUCCCUUGAGUAGGGGUUCCUGGAGCUGUUGAAGAACGUGUUGUCUUCCCUGAAGCCAUUGAUGUUGAAGGAGCCAGGUGCUGAUGCAGGACCUGGAAACCUUGGCAGUCUUGGGAUUGGCUUCUGGACCUGAGGCCUGUGCUCAACAUGAUAGUUGAAUUGGGGACCGGCAGCAGACUCGGGAACAGAAGUGGCGGGAUCAGUGGCUUCGCUGUCUUCUGAAGCUUUUGCUGGGGAGGGCUCCACAUUAGCUUCGUUGUUGGUUGUGGCAGCCUCAAGAUUUUCAUCCUCCACUUGACUAGCUGGAGGGUCAGUCACAUGCACGUUCUCCUAGAGAACUGCUUCUUGGUGGAGCAGGGGAGUGGGAUCUUGUGGUACUUCUUCUUCUGUGGCUGAUGCAGCCGGAAUGUCUUCAGCAUAGACUUGAGGCCUUGGACCUUUGCGAAGCCUGCGGAACGCAGAUGACGCCUGUGGAAUUGGAGUGGGCUGGGCCUCAUAGUCUUCUUCCUCUUGUGGGCGAUCCGCCCAUGAAGCAUCCUGUGCAAUUGGCGUCAGUGGACGACCAAUGCUGAUGAGUUUGCUGUUUUCUAACUGAGGAAGGACUGCAUCAUCUUCUACAUUGUCAUGAUGACCAAUGUCUUCAGCAGCGAUGGGAUCAGCUGCUGGAAUGUCUUCAGCUUCAGGAGCCUCUGUGAAAGCAGGCUCAUGAACCGUCAGUUGACGUUCUGCUUCAGGAUGAACCAUAGAAAUGGGUUCAACUAUCAAGGGCUCUGUGGGAGCAGCCCGAGCUUUCUUGGUUUUUCGCUUUUUCUUGGUGGGGGCAGUAGGAGAGUCUUCAGAGUGUUUCCUCUUCAUGGCUUCAGCCUCAGCAGUUCUUGUCUUCUUGAGCUCUGAAGCUGUUGACCUGCUCUUUGGCUUCGAGCCAGUCAUUCUUGUUGGGAAGACAAUCGAAACUGCUUCUUGCCUUGGUGCAUUAGAUUCAGCCGUAGCAGGCUUCUUCUUCUUCUUUGCGGCCAUCCUGGGGUCGAUGCCAGGACACCCAAGUGCCUUGCGCUUCUCAGCCUCAUUAUAGGCUUGCACACAUCUGUCAGCCAGAGUCUUCAUGCGCUCACGCGAACCCUGAGCUUCUGCACGCUUCUUCACAAAGGCUUCCUUGAGCUCAUGCAUCAUUGUCUUGAAGUUCUUCACUUCUUGCACGCUGAGCUUGGCCAUAUGCUUCUUGAACUGAGCCUUUUCAUAGUCAAUCUUCUACUUCAGCUCAACAACGCGCUGGGCAAUAGCAAGUUCUGAAGCAAUGGCGCCUUGGAAGGCGACACUGAGGCCAAUGGGUAGCUGCAGAUCUUCAAAGCUGAUGUUUGGCGUGUCAAACCACUCGUCAAUGAAGUUGUGGAUGAUGGUGACAUCAAAGAGAGGCAGAUCAUUGAAGAUUUCUGCUUCUUCUUUGCUCUUGAUGAGUUGCUCAAGAGUGUCAUCUGCAAGAUCUUCAUCACUUGACAGAUCAAUGUCGUCGUUGCGUAGAAUGGUAGCAGCUGCUAGCUCUUUGCCAGUGUGAAACAGAGGCAUCUUGGCCUUCUGGGGCCUUGAGACAGGUGAUAAGUCUUCAGACUGCACACUGUCUUCAGGAGGUGCAGUUGCCAAUGGCUUCGCCCUUGAGAUUUUUGGUGAAGGGGCCGGCUUUGAAGCUUUUGGCUUCUUCAACUGCUUUGGCUUCGGCACUUCAGGCGCGUCAUCAGACUCAGUGUCAGCUGUAGGCUCAUUCACUGCAGUCCCUUGAACCAAUAUGUAGGUGAUGAGGCCUUCAAGGUUGGCGAAAGGGCCGAUGACAUUGGGUUCUGCAUGUUGUGUGCCAUCUGCCCUUGGAGAUGAGGGACCAGGGUUGAAGUCUAACCCAAAAGUCUUCUUGUUCUGCUUCGCUGAGUUCUGAGCAAACUGGAAGUUGCGCUUGAACAGAUUGUCGUCACGACACAAUAGCAGUGACGACGAGUGUGCAUCAGCAGGCUGUGGUCCAUGGACCAUGCAUGGAUAGAAGCCUUGAGCAAUGGCUUCAUCUCUGGACCUGGGUAGAAGAUUCUUGAAUAGGAUGUCUCCCCACGGUCUCUUGAUGGUGCUUUUCUCAACAUACUCCUGGGUCACAAAUCUGUAUUUAAACCAUUGUUCUGCCCAAUAUCUUCGAAUCCAUUGGAUUCGGGUCUUGCACUGACUGUAAUCCUCUUCAGGAUCUGUCUUGUACAUUUCUGAGAGUUCAUCUGGCAGAUCUCUGGAGGUCUCACCACGACGCUUUCUUCCACCCUUCCUUGCUGCUUUCUCUGAAGCCAUAAACUUUAACUUGAAAGGCUUCAAGACGUUCAAAGGCUUCAAAGGUUUUCGUUUGCUGGACCAACAGGAACUGGCUUCGGGAGAAUUUAGGUGAUGCUGUAAGAAUUCUGCAAAUGAAUGUAGACUAUGAGAACCAAAGGAUUCUCCCACGGACAUGUACCUGUGACAGCAUUAAGAUGCGAGGGAAGGGGAAGAGGUCAUAUGCAUUCUCAGAAGAUUUUGAAGAUAAAUCAGGUUAGAAGACAUUGACCUCAUCGUGCGAAGACAUUCACUCAUAGAUAAGAAGUUGGUUCCAGAUUUGUACGAAUCCACAGAUCAGUACAAGUGAGGAAUCUAACUACUUUGUUAAGCACAAGUGAAUAUACUAGGCAUUUUUAUGAGAUGCCGUAUGAGAGAGAUUUAGCUUGUGUGAACAAAAACUGCUUGUGGUAGAAAGUGACAGAUCAAUAGGAUCAACGGUGCUGUAAAAAGGGAGUUUUAUUUACCACACUGGGAACUGCUAGACGAAGUGGGAGAUGAGGCAGAGCAGUUCGAUCCUCCGUGCCCUAACUUGGCGACGGAGGACACCUACGGCGACGGCGGAGAGGACGAUGUCCGCGGUCGGCGUGAAGACGGCGUCGGAGAGGUUGCGGCAGCGAAGCGCUUCGUCACCGGCGACGUCGAGAGCUAGUGGUGGCGCUAGGGUUCGUGCGAGGGUGGAAGAAGAGAUAAUGACCGCUGUGAGUGUGUAUUUAUCGGCACAUGGGCGGCACUGUGCUAUUACACAGGUGCCCUGGCGAUUCGCAUUUGGGGAACACAUGGCCAUUAUGCGGAAUUUUGGGGUUUGUUCCACGUCCCAUGCACGCCUGGAUUGUCGGGUGGUUGUUCCUACUUCUCCGGAAUUCAUGUGGAGGAAUGAGCAUUGAAAACGGACUUAAUGGUUGUCUCUGUAUCUUCUGCUGACAAGGACGCAGAGAAGACAUUCGAUAGUUUCAAUAGAAUGCAUAUGACUUGGAGAGAUAGAGUUUGAGAUAGAAAGCAUAGAGAAGUUAGGGUCCGAUCACAUUCACUUAGUUCAAAAGAUUCAACACGAAGGCAUAGAUAUAAGUGAAUGCUGUAGAGGACAGAAUACUAGCAUAUAUAUAUAUAUAUAAUCAACAUAGUGAAGAUAAUAAUAAAAAUAUGUUGAGAUCGAAGCCAAACCAAAUGUGAUGAUGAGGACAUCAAUACAAUUGUUACACCCACAGCCCCUGCUGCUAUACAUACUGGACCAAUUACUAGAGCUCGUGCACGCCAAUUAAAUUACCAGGUACUUUCGUUUCUUGGUAAUGAUUCUAAUGUUCAUGAGAAUAUGAUGCUGCCUAAAUUGGAUACAUUUGUUUUGCUUACAAAUGAAGGGCCUAGCUUGGAGAAGGAUGAACAUUGGAGCAAGAACAAGCAUGGAGAUGAUGGCAUGCGCAAGGGGAACAAGAACGGAGUUACAAGUGAUGAUUUCAGGACUUUGAAGCCACCAUAAUGGGUGCAUGAAGCCUUGGAUGAAAUAUACAAGAUGCCACUUCAUAAAUUUCGUCCCGAGGCUAUUUUAGGUGCUGCGUCACCUUAUUAUUGGGCCAGGCCCAUGUAAUUUCGAAAUACAUAAGUAUAGGCUAUUUUUAGAGUCCGUAUGUGUGGGGAAACAAGAGAUAGGGUUGAUUUCGGACCCCUCCACCAAGGGCCACGAAAUUCCCCCCUCUUCCUCCAUAUAUACAGCCCUUAGGGCAUCGUUUAGACUUUGGGUUUUGUUUAGAUUAAAAGUUCGCCAUAGCUGCAACUUCGCGUACUUCGUUUGUGUUCAACGACCAGACAAAGGCGUCACAGAACCCCACCUUGAUUAAUAAAGCUUUCAUCUUAUAUUCGCAAUAUCCAGAUUGCAAUCUCAGUUUCUUGCUUGUUCUUCGUUUGCUUGCAGGAAACAGACCCUCGUGGUCAGGUUGAUCGUGCUCCGGCGUGGUCAAUAACCUCUCGUAGUUGGUUUAGUGAUUGCUAAGGCGCGACGUCCUCGCACGUUCGUAGUCGGAUCGUCAAAGUCAACUGCCACCAAAGCAAUAUCCAUCAUCUCAUCGAAAGACGGGACACCUUUGCCUCUAUCAUUAAUAGAGCUAAUAAAGCAAAACAGGAGACAAAUAAGAGUGAAAAUCAGAUUGUGGCAAAAGAAUUUGUGCACCAAAUGAAGCCUAAAAAUAAACCAUCUACUGUUGUUUCUGAAAUUAAAUUGAAAAGUGCAUGUUUACUUGCCACCAAAUCUGAUAUUGAUGAGCUAGAUUUUAGCAAAUCUGUUUGCUUUGCUUUUGUGUGCAAAGAGGUAUUAUUUUCAUUCGAGGACGUGCCUUCCUCUUUGCCCCCUGUUGUCACUAACAUUUUGCAGGAGUUCGCUGACGUCUUUCCACAAGACGUGCCACCGGGAUUACCACCUAUUCGAGGGAUUCAGCAUCAAAUUGACUUAAUUCCCGGUGCUUCGCUACCCAACUGUGCUCCAUACCGUACCAAUCCAGAGGAGACGAAGGAGAUUAUGCGUCAAGUACAAGAACUGCUCGACAAAGGUUAUAUACGCGAAUCCCUUAGUCCUUGUGCUGUUCCUAUCAUUUUAGUGCCGAAAAAGGAUGGUAUGUCGCGUAUGUGCGUUGAUUGUAGAGGCAUUAAUAAUAUUACUAUUCGUUAUCGUCAUCCUAUUCCUAGGCUAGAUGAUAUGCUUGAUGAAUUGAGUGGCUCUACAAUAUUCUCCAAAGUUGAUUUGUGUAGUGGAUACCAUCAAAUUCGUAUGAAAUUGGGUGAUGAAUGGAAAACAACAUUUAAAACUAAGUUUGGAUUAUAUGAGUGGUUAGUCAUGCCUUUUGGGUUAACUAAUGCACCUAGUACUUUCAUGAGGUUAAUGAACGAAGUUUUAUGUGCUUUCAUUGGACGAUUUGUGGUAGUUUACUUUGAUGACAUAUUGAUUUAUAGCAAAUCUUUGGAGGAACAUUUGGAACAUUUAUGUGCUGUUUUUAUUGCUCUACGUGAUGCACAUUUGUUUGGAAACCUUGGAAAGUGCACCUUUUGCACCGACCGAGUAUCUUUUCUUGGCUAUGUUGUUACUCCACAGGGAAUUGAAGUUGAUAAAGCCAACAUUGAAGCUAUUGAGAGUUGGCCGCAGCCCAAAACGGACACACAAGUGAGGAGUUUCCUUGGCCUCGCUGGUUUCUAUAGGCGUUUUGUGAGAGAUUUCAGCACCAUUGCUGCACCUCUCAACGAGCUUACAAAGAAGGAUGUGCCUUUUGUUUGGGGUACCGCACAGGAAGAAGCCUUCACGGUAUUGAAAGAUAAGUUGACACAUGCUCCUUUACUCCAACUUCCUAAUUUCAAUAAGACUUUUGAGCUUGAAUGUGAUGCUAGUGGAAUUGGAUUAGGAGGUGUGUUAUUACAAGAUGGAAAACCUGUUGCAUACUUUUCUGAAAAAUUGAGUGGGCCUAGUCUGAACUAUUCUACUUAUGAUAAAGAAUUAUAUGCUCUUGUUCGGACCUUAGAAACAUGGCAACAUUAUUUACGGCCCAAGGAAUUUGUUAUACAUUCUGGUCAUGAACCUUUGAAACACAUUAAAAGUCAAGCAAAACUGAACCGUAGACAUGCUAAAUGGGUUGAAUUCAUUGAGACUUUCCCUUAUGUCAUUAAACACAAGAAGGGUAAAGAAAAUGUUAUUGCUGAUGCCUUGUCUCGUCGUUAUACUAUGCUUUCACAACUUGACUUUAAAAUAUUUGGUUUGGAGACCAUCAAAGAUCAAUAUGUUCAUGAUGCUGAAUUUAAAGAUGUAUUGCAGAAUUGUAAGGAAGGGAGAACUUGGAACAAGUUCGUUAUUGACGAUGGAUUUGUGUUUCGUGCUAACAAGCUAUGCAUUCCAGCUAGCUCCGUUCGUCUUUUGUUGUUGCAGGAGGCGCAUGGAGGAGGAUUAAUGGGACACUUUGGCGUCAAGAAGACGGAGGAUAUACUUGCUACACAUUUCUUUUGGCCAAAGAUGAGACGGGAUGUUGAGUGUUUUGUUGCUCGCUGCACUACAUGUCAAAGAGCUAAGUCACGACUCAAUCCUCAUGGUUUAUAUAUGCCUUUGCCUGUACCUAGUGUUCCUUGGGAGGAUAUAUCUAUGGACUUUGUUUUAGGUUUACCUCGAACAAAGAAGGGGAGGGAUAGCAUAUUUGUUGUCGUGGAUAGGUUCUCGAAAAUGGCACACUUUAUACCAUGUCAUAGAAGCGAUGAUGUUGUUAAUGUUGCUGAUUUGUUCUUUCGUGAAAUUAUUCACUUACAUGGUGUGCCAAAUGCUAUUGUUUCAGAUCGUGAUACUAUAUUUCUUAGCCACUUUUGGAGAUGUUUAUGGGCUAAGUUGGGGACUAAGCUGCUUUUUAGUACUACUUGUCACCCCCAAACUGAUGGACAAACUGAAGUAGUCAAUAGAACAUUGUCUACUAUGCUUAGGGCUGUUUUGAAGAAUAACAAGAAAAUGUGGGAAGAAUGCUUGCCUCAUAUUGAAUUUGCUUAUAAGCGUUCAUUGCAUUCUACUACUAAGAUGUGCCCUUUUGAAAUUGUUUAUGGUUUCCUACCUCGUGCACCUAUUGAUUUGUUGCCUCUUCCAUCUUCAGAGAAGGUUAAUUUUGAUGCUAAAGAAUGUUCUGAAUUGAUUUUAAAAAUGCAUGAGUUAACUAAGGAAAACAUUGAGCGUAUGAAUGCUAAAUAUAAACUUGCUGGAGAUAAGGGUAGAAAACAUGUUGUGUUUGCGCCUGGAGAUCUUGUUUGGUUACAUUUGCGUAAAGAUAGAUUUCCUAAUCUGCGCAAAUCAAAGCUAAUGCCACGUGCUGAUGGUCCUUUUAAGGUGUUAGAGAAAAUAAAUGAUAAUGCAUAUAAACUUGAGCUACCUGUAGAUUUUGGGGUUAGUCCCACUUUUAACAUUGCAGAUUUGAAGCCUUAUUUGGGUGAGGAAGAUGCGCUUCCGUCGAGGACGACUUCGUUUUAAGAAGGGGAGGAUGAUGAGGACAUCAAUACCAUUGUUACACCCACAGCCCCUACUGUUACAUAUACUAGACCAAUUACUAGAGCUCGCGCACGCCAAUUAAAUUACCAGGUACUUUCGUUUCUUGGUAAUGAUUCUAAUGUUCAUGAGAUUAUGAUGCUGCCUAAAUUGGAUACAUUUGUUUUGCUUACAAAUGAAGGGCCUAGCUUGGAGAAGGAUGAACAUUGGAGCAAGAACACGCAUGGAGUUGAUGGCAUGCGCAAGGGGAGACGGAGUUACAAGUGAUGAUUUCAGGACUUUGAAGCCGCCAUAAGGAGUGCAUGAAGCCUUGGACGAAAUAUACAAGAUGCCACUUCAUAAUAUUCAUCCAUAGGCUAUUCUAGGUGCUGCGUCACCUUAUUAAUGGGCCAGGUCCAUGUAAUUUCGAAAUACUUAAGUAUAGGCUAUUUUUAGAGUCCGUAUGUGUGGGGAAACAAGAGUUAGG
This 31609-nucleotide long non-coding RNA is filed under the name Triticum aestivum (bread wheat). RNAcentral's name for it is "long non-coding RNA (TAES_LNC020642)". Lineage: Eukaryota; Viridiplantae; Streptophyta; Magnoliopsida; Poales; Poaceae. The record is from RNAcentral.